ACGAACGCUGGCGGCGUGCUUAACACAUGCAAGUCGAACGCUGAAGACCUGGCUUUUGUUGGGUUGGAUGAGUGGCGAACGGGUGAGUAACACGUGAGUAACCUGCCCUCUUCUUUGGGAUAACGCCCGGAAACGGGUGCUAAUACUGGAUAUUCACUGAUCUUCGCAUGGGGGUUGGUGGAAAGGUUUGUUCUGGUGGGGGAUGGGCUCGCGGCCUAUCAGCUUGUUGGUGGGGUGAUGGCCUACCAAGGCUUUGACGGGUAGCCGGCCUGAGAGGGUGACCGGUCACAUUGGGACUGAGCUACGGCCCAGACUCCUACGGGAGGCAGCAGUGGGGAAUAUUGCACAAUGGGCGAAAGCCUGAUGCAGCGACGCCGCGUGAGGGAUGGAGGCCUUCGGGUUGUAAACCUCUUUCGCUCAUGGUCAAGCCGCAACUGUGGGUUGUGGUGAGGGUAGUGGGUAAAGAAGCGCCGGCUAACUACGUG
Molecule: ribosomal RNA, 485 nt
Filed under: uncultured bacterium
Lineage: Bacteria
Description: partial 16S ribosomal RNA
Rfam family: Bacterial small subunit ribosomal RNA
Source: RNAcentral